GCAAUCCAGAAAUAUACCAAUAUCUCUGUUGGUAGUGGUAAUACCAGCAAUAACAAUAGCAUUUGUAGUAGGAUGUGUGUAUUUAUAUACCCAGAGAUAUAAAAAACAGUCUCUGAGAUCAAAGGAGCCACAUUCUAAGGAAUUAUUAGGCCAUAAAGAUACAGUAAAUCAAGAUAAUGUGCAUCAUGAUUCAAUUCAUCAAACACCAGACACCAGGAAAUGUGGAACUCUCGAGUCAACUCCAGGAACGUCUGUGUCAAAAAGGAGCGUUUAUUCAGACAGGAAAAGAAAAUCUAAACUUGCAAGACCACUCUUCCCAACAGAAAAUGGGUUAUCUUGUGAGAAGUCUUGAAUACUGAAUUCUUUAAAAGGACACUCCAUGCACUAAAACAACUUCAUCUAAAUGAAGUUGUUAUGGUGCUAGGAGGCCGCUGGAGACAAUCUUACCUGAAGGGGUUAAACCGUUCUCGUAAAGUCCUAGGGUGGCAUCCGGCUUCAGCAAUUUUACAUUCUGGAAGGUCGCUGAUUUGCUGAGAGUGGUCAGGUGGCGAAAUCUGGCUUGGAAAUCAGUUUUAUGAAUGGGGAAUCACUGAUUGGCUGACAGUGUCACCUGACUGCUCUCAGCAAAUCAGCGGUGCACCUGGCAGGUGGCACUCCGCGCUUCCGGAAUCUGAAACUACUGAAGCCAGGAGGAGUGGGCAUGGCCACUGGAUGCGACUUUGGGGAUAAACCGUUCAAGAAUGGGUAACCCCUACAGGUAAGAGUGU
Molecule: long non-coding RNA, 767 nt
Organism: Pelobates fuscus (common spadefoot toad)
Lineage: Eukaryota; Metazoa; Chordata; Amphibia; Anura; Pelobatidae
Exons: 3
Source: RefSeq, a predicted model, not a curated record